RNAcentral lists this ribosomal RNA (447 nucleotides) under uncultured bacterium. RNAcentral describes it as "partial 16S ribosomal RNA". It matches the Rfam family "Bacterial small subunit ribosomal RNA", at positions 330 to 792 of the family's 1533-position model. The record is from RNAcentral.
UCCAGACUCCUACGGGAGGCAGCAGUGGGGAAUAUUGCACAAUGGGGGGAACCCUGAUGCAGCGACGCCGCGUGGGCGAGGAAGUCUUUCGGUAUGUAAAGCCCUAUCGGCAGGGAAGAAGAAAUGACGGUACCUGAAUAAGAAGCACCGGCUAAAUACGUGCCAGCAGCCGCGGGAAUACGUAUGGUGCAAGCGUUAUCCGGAUUUACUGGGCGUAAAGGGAGCGCAGGCGGCGCGCCAAGUCUGAUGUGAAACCCCGGGGCUCAACCCCGGGCAUGCAUUGGAAACUGGCGGGCUGGAGUGCCGGAGAGGUAAGCGGAAUUCCUAGUGUAGCGGUGAAAUGCGUAGAUAUUAGGAGGAACACCAGUGGCGAAGGCGGCUUACUGGACGGCAACUGACGCUGAGGCUCGAAAGCGUGGGGAGCAAACAGGAUUAGAUACCCCGGUA